RNAcentral lists this ribosomal RNA (294 nucleotides) under Triticum aestivum (bread wheat). RNAcentral's name for it is "partial small subunit ribosomal RNA". The record is from RNAcentral. Lineage: Eukaryota; Viridiplantae; Streptophyta; Magnoliopsida; Poales; Poaceae.
AUGCGCCAGCUAAGGCUCAUCACCAACAUGAGGGCUCAUAAUGACACCUGGUUUGCAGAUUACUUGCUAAGGGCAGGCAAUGGUACCGAGGAAGUUGAUGAUCAAGGAAACAUACGACUCCCUGAAGAUAUUUGUGUGUCGUCUACAGGUGAGGGUGACGACCUGGAGAAGCUAAUUGACCAUGUGUUUCUGAGAUUAGAUGACAACAUGUCGGAUCCGAAUUACACGACUUCACGCGCAAUCCUCUCCACCACGAACAACAACGUCGACAAGAUAAACAUACGCAUGGUAGAU